Molecule: ribosomal RNA, 1126 nt
Filed under: Klebsiella michiganensis
Lineage: Bacteria; Pseudomonadati; Pseudomonadota; Gammaproteobacteria; Enterobacterales; Enterobacteriaceae
Description: partial 23S ribosomal RNA
Rfam family: Bacterial large subunit ribosomal RNA
Source: RNAcentral
AUAAUGGGUCAGCGACUUAUAUUCUGUAGCAAGGUUAACCGUAUAGGGGAGCCGCAGGGAAACCGAGUCUUAACUGGGCGUUAAGUUGCAGGGUAUAGACCCGAAACCCGGUGAUCUAGCCAUGGGCAGGUUGAAGGUUGGGUAACACUAACUGGAGGACCGAACCGACUAAUGUUGAAAAAUUAGCGGAUGACUUGUGGCUGGGGGUGAAAGGCCAAUCAAACCGGGAGAUAGCUGGUUCUCCCCGAAAGCUAUUUAGGUAGCGCCUCGUGAACUCAUCUUCGGGGGUAGAGCACUGUUUCGGCUAGGGGGUCAUCCCGACUUACCAACCCGAUGCAAACUACGAAUACCGAAGAAUGUUAUCACGGGAGACACACGGCGGGUGCUAACGUCCGUCGUGAAGAGGGAAACAACCCAGACCGCCAGCUAAGGUCCCAAAGUCAUGGUUAAGUGGGAAACGAUGUGGGAAGGCCCAGACAGCCAGGAUGUUGGCUUAGAAGCAGCCAUCAUUUAAAGAAAGCGUAAUAGCUCACUGGUCGAGUCGGCCUGCGCGGAAGAUGUAACGGGGCUAAACCAUGCACCGAAGCUGCGGCAGCGACACUAUGUGUUGUUGGGUAGGGGAGCGUUCUGUAAGCCGUUGAAGGUGGCCUGUGAGGGUUGCUGGAGGUAUCAGAAGUGCGAAUGCUGACAUAAGUAACGAUAAUGCGGGUGAAAAACCCGCACGCCGGAAGACCAAGGGUUCCUGUCCAACGUUAAUCGGGGCAGGGUGAGUCGACCCCUAAGGCGAGGCCGAAAGGCGUAGUCGAUGGGAAACAGGUUAAUAUUCCUGUACUCGGUGUUACUGCGAAGGGGGGACGGAGAAGGCUAUGUUGGCCGGGCGACGGUUGUCCCGGUUUAAGCAUGUAGGCGGAUGUUCCAGGUAAAUCCGGAACGUCACUAACGCUGAGGUGUGAUGACGAGGCACUACGGUGCUGAAGUGACAAAUGCCCUGCUUCCAGGAAAAGCCUCUAAGCAUCAGGUAACAUCAAAUCGUACCCCAAACCGACACAGGUGGUCAGGUAGAGAAUACCAAGGCGCUUGAGAGAACUCGGGUGAAGGAACUAGGCAAAAUGGUGCCGUAACUUCG